AAAAAAAAAAAAUUGCAACUUAUUCAAGGAUUCCCCAGAUCCCCAGAUAAGAAGGCCAAGCUAAGGUCAAAUUCUCUUUGAAGCAGGCCUGGACCCAAGGAUUCGGGUACACGUGACUUUUUUUAAGGAACUAUUCCAGGAAACACAGAGGAAAUGGUGCCAGCAGAGCAGGAAAAUGGAAGAAGCCAAACAAGGAAACCAUUUUACAUUGGGUGUUACUUCAAUUUCAGUCCAUCUCUUCUCUACCAUUUUCCAGAAGAAAACUUGGAAUCAGAUCAUGAUUCACCUUGAAAAAGCUGUGGAGUCAAAAAGUCUGGCAAAGAAUAAAGACAAACUAGUACAGAAUAUGACAGCUACAGAUGGGACUGGUGAU
This is a long non-coding RNA of Eptesicus fuscus (big brown bat), 373 nucleotides long. RefSeq lists it as uncharacterized. NCBI's taxonomy places the organism in Eukaryota, Metazoa, Chordata, Mammalia, Chiroptera, Vespertilionidae. The transcript is spliced from 4 exons. The record is from RefSeq and is a predicted model, not a curated record.